CUCAAGGUCCAGUAACUUCUGGAAGCCCAAGAGAGAGCUCAUAUUCAGAGGACAGGAAGACAAUUCCAGACCAUUGGUCCACAGAGGUGUCACCUGUCCUUCUGUGUCUGUGUCAGCCUCACUGCCCCCUGACUUACCCCUGCCCCCAGGAAAAAUGUCACAGAAUGGCCAUCCUAACAGGCGUAAGGUGCUAUCUAGUUGUGGUUUUGAUUUGCAUUUCUUUGAUGAGUCAUCUUGGCCUGUCCUUGACUGGAGACACAUUUUGGAAGCUGUUGGCACUCUCUGUUAAUGGACAUUUGGGUUAUUCCCUCCCGUUCUCCCCUGAACUGGCUCUUCCCAGAUACAUCCUGCUUUAGUGAGCUCAGCUUCUCUGCCAACUUCAUCUGUGAAGCUGUCUUAAAGUAUGAGAAGUCAUUAUCAGUGUUCAGGAUCUCAGGAAAGGAUGGUCUGAUCUCUUUGGGCCCAGAGCGUUUCACCUCUCAAGCAUCCUAAGUUCUUCAGUGUUCUGGACUCCAUAGUGGGGCAUCAAGGGUCAUCAGGGCUGAUUCUCAGAGGCCUAGCCAGCUCAGCCGAAAUGUCCAAGGCUCAGGCAGUGGGCCCUGGACAGGGGAUGUUGGCAUCCUCCAAUGAAAUGAUUCCAUCCAUCUUCCUGAGACAGGAAGGUGGACAGGAAUCUCUCUAAGGAAGACACAUGAGAUCUCCUCUAGUCUGUGGUCAGCCUUGAGGUACCACACCUGCCCAAGGUGAGCAGGUUUUUGGCUAAGGGUGAAUGGUUCAUAUCAGUUCUCCCCUACCCUGGAUGCAUUGUCUGAGGUGUUUUGCAUGCUAGGCUCUUGGCCUCUGUCUCAGAGUCUUGAAAAGAGACAGAGCAGAGCUCUCCUGCUCACAGUCUGUAUCUGCACUCAUCCAGGAUCUUCCACUUAAACGAGCUCUCAACAUCAUGGACAAACUUCCAGCAUGUGAGUAGAUUCACAUCUGAGGCUACAUCUUUGGUGUUUGCAAAAUAGUGAUAAGGAUUCCAUGGUUGAAAGAGGAAGCUGUGGUCAGGCCCCACCACUCCAGGGACAGUAGCUCAGUGCUGCUCUGAAGGGGCCUGGCUGCCCCUUUCUGUCCACUGAUGGCUGAGAUAAGAAUAUUCUCCAAUCUUGAAAAUGGCUUAUAAGUCUUUAACUCUCUAGAGUUGCAGGGACCUUCUUGGGGUUUAUUAACGCAAUAAUAGAAAAAUAGUUAUUGCACUCAAGUUGCUUAAGAGGCCCUCUCUGGACAGGAGCAUCAAAGAUUAACAAAGCAGAUGAAGCCACUUGCCCCAGGGUGGUGAACUUGCUGAGCCUGCCUGUGGCUCUUUCCUUCUGGCUGUCACCUGGUUGCUCCAGUAGGUCAUUCAGAUCUCCAUGUCCUACUAAGAAACUCCCCUCAUUUAUCCCACUAGGAAACAUCCAUUACCCUUAUCAUUUUCUAUCCACUCAGCCCAAUUUAUUUUUCUCCUUGCAGUUAUCACAAUGUAAACCCAAAGAAGGUACAGACAGUUCUACCUUAGCACUGUCUUAUCCUCA
Long non-coding RNA from Homo sapiens (human), 1553 nucleotides. RefSeq lists it as uncharacterized. The record is from RefSeq and is a predicted model, not a curated record. Lineage: Eukaryota; Metazoa; Chordata; Mammalia; Primates; Hominidae. The transcript has 3 exons.